Molecule: transfer RNA, 71 nt
Filed under: Nitriliruptorales bacterium
Lineage: Bacteria; Bacillati; Actinomycetota; Nitriliruptoria; Nitriliruptorales
Rfam family: tRNA
About the family: Transfer RNA (tRNA) molecules are approximately 80 nucleotides in length.
Source: Rfam by way of RNAcentral
GGCCGGGUAGCCAAGUGGUAAGGCAGCGGACUGCAAAUCCGCCAUCGUGGGUUCGAUUCCCAUCCCGGCCU